Molecule: long non-coding RNA, 777 nt
Organism: Oncorhynchus keta (chum salmon)
Lineage: Eukaryota; Metazoa; Chordata; Actinopteri; Salmoniformes; Salmonidae
Exons: 5
Source: RefSeq, a predicted model, not a curated record
AACAGUCCACACCAUAUCUAUUUAGACAGUGAGGUAUCAGAUUUAGAUUGUAUUGAGUAUACAGUCCACACCAUAUCUAUUUAGACAGUGAGGUAUCAGAUUUAGAUUGUAUUGAGUAUACAGUCCACAGCAUAUCUAUUUAGACAGUGAGGAAUCAGAUUUAGAUUGUAUUGAGUAUACAGUCCACACCAUAUCUAUUUAGACAGUGAGGUAUCAGAUUUAGAUUGUAUUGAGUAUACAGUCCACACCAUAUCUAUUUAGACAGUGAGGUAUCAGAUGUAGAUUGUAUUGAGUAUACAGUCCACACCAUAUCUAUUUAGACAGUGAGGAAUCAGAUUUAGAUUGUAUUGAGUAUACAGUCCACACCAUAUCUAUUUAGACAGUGAGGUAUCAGAUUUAGAUUGUAUUGAGUAUACAGUCCACACCAUAUCUAUUUAGACAGUGAGGUAUCAGAUUUAGAUUGUAUUGAGUAUACAGUCCACACCAUAUCUAUUUAGACAGUGAGGUAUCAGAUUUAGAUUGUAUUGAGUAUACAGUCCACACCAUAUCUAUUUUGACAGUGAAGUAUCAGAUUUAGAUUGUAUUGAGAAUACAGUCCACACCAUAUCUAUUUAGACAGUGAGGUAUCAGAUUUAGAUUGUAUUGAGUAUACAGUCCACACCAUAUCUAUUUAGACAGUGAGGUAUCAGAUUUAGAUUGUAUUGAGUAUACAGUCCACACCAUAUCUAUUUAGACAGUGAGGUAUCAGAUUUAGAUUGUAUUGAGUAUACAGUCCAC